UACGGGGGGGGCAAGCGUUGUUCGGAAUUACGGGGCGUAAAGGGCUCGUAGGCGGCCAACUAAGUCGGAUGUGAAAUCCCCAGGCUUAACCUGGGAACUGCAUCCGAUACUGGAUGGCUUGAAUCCGGGAGAGGGAUGCGGAAUUCCAGGUGUAGCGGUGAAAUGCGUAGAUAUCUGGAGGAACACCGGUGGCGAAGGCGGCAUCCUGGACCGGCAUUGACGCUGAGGAGCGAAAGCCAGGGGAGCAAACGGG
RNAcentral lists this ribosomal RNA (253 nucleotides) under uncultured bacterium. Its description in RNAcentral is "partial 16S ribosomal RNA". It matches the Rfam family "Bacterial small subunit ribosomal RNA", at positions 524 to 776 of the family's 1533-position model. The record is from RNAcentral.